Long non-coding RNA from Brassica oleracea var. oleracea, 678 nucleotides. RefSeq lists it as uncharacterized. The transcript has 4 exons. NCBI's taxonomy places the organism in Eukaryota, Viridiplantae, Streptophyta, Magnoliopsida, Brassicales, Brassicaceae. The record is from RefSeq and is a predicted model, not a curated record.
GUUAAACCUAAAAUCUAUUAUUCUCUUCUAGCGUCUUCUCCCCCAAGAGCUUCUUCCUCUCUCCAAUGACGAUUUGUUCUUCUUUGAACGGUUAAAUCCGCCUGUCUCUAUCCUAUAUUUAUGCUUAGUUGUUCAUAUGCAGUAAACUGUCUAGCAAAUCUGAUCAGAAUUUGCCAUGUUUGCAUCCGCUACAAAGUUUCUACAGAAACUCUAGAACAAUAUAUUAUGCUCGUGUUUUGGUUCAAGUCUUGGUGAAAACGUUUCCGCGGAAAAUCUCCUCAAGUGCAGGGGAUCUUCUUAGUUGUUCAUAUGCGGUACUUGACAAGACAAACUCGAUUGACGGAACAGUUCCAGAAGAAGUUAUGUUUCAGAGCGAGGUGAAGAAGCUACAACAGGAGCAGUUCAGGCCAGCAGAGCAAGGUUCAAUUUCAUCACAAGAGAUGCUGCAGUACAUCGUCUUGGAGUGAAACAUGAUCUUACAUGAGCGAUCUAUUGUACCAGCAAGACCUCUCAAACAGCUUUGCCUUCCAUUUUUUUCUUUUGUGCACCAACAGCUUUGCCUUCCAAAUGCACGUUUCUUCACUCUUUUUUUGUUGUUGUCCUGAUCCAUAUUAUCAUCAUUACUUCCCGAACAUACAAAAUGUUACCAAGUAAUCAAUUGGUUGUAUCUUGUAAGCU